GGAUGUUAGGGCGAUCUGGCUGCAGCAUCUGUUACCUCAUCGAUCACCAGAGUUGACUCGGCUGAUCUGGCUGGCCAGGAGAGUGUCCCCUGCUCCCUCACCACUCCGUGGGCAUCCUUCCCAAAGCUGCACACUCAGAGGAAGAGGAUGACCACCCCCAAUAGAGGGGGACCAUCUCCUUGGUCAAGGGUUCAUGAAUAGCUGUGCUCCCCUGCUAGAACCUCCAAACAAGCUCUUAAGUUUGGAUUGUUUCUCCAAUUGAGAUUUGUUUUGAUCUAGGAAUUAAACUAGAGACUCAGCUUUGUUUUUCUCCUCUGGGGCCAGUUUUUCCAG
This is a non-coding RNA of Fukomys damarensis (Damara mole-rat), 333 nucleotides long. The record is from Rfam. NCBI's taxonomy places the organism in Eukaryota, Metazoa, Chordata, Mammalia, Rodentia, Bathyergidae.